Molecule: transfer RNA, 71 nt
Filed under: Bigelowiella natans
Lineage: Eukaryota; Cercozoa; Chlorarachniophyceae
Description: tRNA-Ala
Rfam family: tRNA
About the family: Transfer RNA (tRNA) molecules are approximately 80 nucleotides in length. Their secondary structure includes four short double-helical elements and three loops (D, anti-codon, and T loops).
Source: RNAcentral
GGGGCCAUCGUUCAAUGGUAGGACACUUGUUUUGCAAGCAUGAGAUAUCGGUUCGAUUCCGGUUGGCUCCA